CCUACGGGAGGCAGCAGUGAAGAAUAUUGGACAAUGGGCGGGAGCCUGAUCCAGCCAUGCCGCGUGCAGGAAGACCGCCCUAUGGGUCGUAAACUGCUUUUGUACGGGAAGAACAAGGGGCACGCGUGCCCCCCUGACGGUACCGUAAGAAUAAGGAUCGGCUAACUCCGUGCCAGCAGCCGCGUUAAUACGGAGGAUCCGAGCGUUAUCCGGAAUUAUUGGGUUUAAAGGGUCCGUAGGCGGCCCGUUAGUCAGGGGUGAAAGUCUGCGGCUCAACCGUAGCACUGCCCUUGAUACUGCGGCCUUGAGUUAUGGUGAAGUGGCUAGAAUAUGUGGUGUAGCGGUGAAAUGCAUAGAUAUCACAUGGAAUACCGAUUGCGAAGGCAGGCCACUAACCAUAUACUGACGCUGAUGGACGAAAGCGUGGGGAGCGAACAGGAUUAGAUACCCUGGUAGUCCACGCCGUAAACGAUGGAUACUAGCUGUCCGGGCCCUUGAGGCCUGGGCGGCCCAGCGAAAGUGAUAAGUAUCCCACCUGGGGAGUACGUCCGCAAGGAUGAAACUCAAAGGAAUUGACGG
RNAcentral lists this ribosomal RNA (579 nucleotides) under uncultured bacterium. RNAcentral's name for it is "bacterial SSU rRNA". It matches the Rfam family "Bacterial small subunit ribosomal RNA", at positions 338 to 916 of the family's 1533-position model. The record is from RNAcentral.